Molecule: long non-coding RNA, 763 nt
Organism: Labeo rohita (rohu)
Lineage: Eukaryota; Metazoa; Chordata; Actinopteri; Cypriniformes; Cyprinidae
Exons: 3
Source: RefSeq, a predicted model, not a curated record
CUACAUAGUAAUGAACUGUACUGUAAGUAUAAGGAAUUCAGAUAGAAUGUUUUUGAUGGAGGAUUAAACUUUGACAUUUUCUUUUCUUUCAGGUUAGGUGCCAGCAUGAUUUGGCAGUAAGACCUCACUACAUCGCCAAGCACGAGUGGACCACCAAGGGUGUUAGUGACCAAGGGAUCAUGGGUCUUUAGUGUUCUACUAAAGAAAGAGGAGUCUGAUGAACCAGAUCUUGGAGAUGUUCCGGGGAUAGUUUGCUAGAUCUCUUUCACUAGCAUGCUAUUAUUACAGCUUCAAGUGAGGAUGCUUUUGCUCAGACCACUGUAGAACCGGGCCUGGGCUUGGCUAACCGCUCCAAACUACAACACAGCUGACAUCAGGGAUUCCCAUCUUUUGAAUGAGUGACACUUGUUUGCACAAUUACUGUCUGCUCUAAUUUUUUGGCUUUAUAUAUGCACCCAGCCUUAUCACUAACAGCAGUUGUUGAAUGUAAACCUGUAAAAAGAAAUAAUUUUGUAAAAUGUUUGCAUUUUGUCAUUUUACUGUUGCUUCGGUCUUGUCCUUUUCAGUUUGAAGCCAGAUAUCCUUGUACACAUUGUCUUUACAGGUUUUCCUUGAUAUAACACAUUUACUUGACUCUUGUUAGUGAUGAGGUUGGGGAAUUUAGGGCAAAAAGGCUUUUGUUUUAAAAGGUUAAAAAGACUUAUUUCAUUUAUCGAGAUGUACCAAAGUACAUCUGCAUUUGAUGUUUGUUAAUGAAAUGCUU